GAUGAACGCUGGCGGCGUGCCUAAUACAUGCAAGUCGAGCGAACAGACGAGGAGCUUGCUCCUCUGACGUUAGCGGCGGACGGGUGAGUAACACGUGGAUAACCUACCUAUAAGACUGGGAUAACUUCGGGAAACCGGAGCUAAUACCGGAUAACAUGUUGAACCGCAUGGUUAAACAGUGAAGGACGGUUUUGCUGUCACUUAUAGAUGGAUCCGCGUCGCAUUAGCUAGUUGGUAAGGUAACGGCUUACCAAGGCAACGAUGCGUAGCCGACCUGAGAGGGUGAUCGGCCACACUGGAACUGAGACACGGUCCAGACUCCUACGGGAGGCAGCAGUAGGGAAUCUUCCGCAAUGGGCGAAAGCCUGACGGAGCAACGCCGCGUGAGUGAAGAAGGUCUUCGGAUCGUAAAACUCUGUUAUUAGGGAAGAACAAAUGUGUAAGUAACUAUGCACGUCUUGACGGUACCUAAUCAGAAAGCCACGGCUAACUACGUG
RNAcentral lists this ribosomal RNA (497 nucleotides) under uncultured bacterium. RNAcentral's name for it is "partial 16S ribosomal RNA". It matches the Rfam family "Bacterial small subunit ribosomal RNA", at positions 28 to 507 of the family's 1533-position model. The record is from RNAcentral.